AUGACUGAUCUCCUUCAAGGGUUUCCAUAUUGCAUAACUACUACCCGUGAAAGAACAGACAUGUGUGGAGCCUUGAAGGAGUGCUUCAGAUCAUCAAAGUUCCAAGUGGAUUCCUUCAGAAAAUCGCUGGUGAAAUACAAUUGUGUAGCACUUAGCAAUUCUCUUGAAAGAAAUGAUGGAAAUGGGCAGACCCGGAGCAGCACGUGGACUCUCAGGCGCCAUGCAGUCGCCGGCCUCCUGGCGUCCCCCAGCCCGGCCCAGGCCCAGACCCUUACCCGGGCUCCGCGGCCGGCAGAGUUGGCCCUGCUCUGAGGCCGCCGGAGCCUGCGUACUGGCAUCGAUGCAACCUGCACACCCCACCACGCCAGUUCGAACCUCCGUGGCCUCAACCAGAUUCGGAAUGUCAAAAAACAGAGUGUCUAUUUGAUGAAUUUGAGGAAAUCAGGAACUUUGGGCCACUUAGGCUCUCUAGAUGACACCACCUAUGAAAGACUAGCAGAGGAAACGCUGGACUCUUUAGCAGAGUUUUUUGAAGACCUUGCAGACAAGCCAUACACCUUUGAGGACUAUGAUGUUUCCUUUGGGAGUGGUGUCUUAACUGUUAAACGGGGUGGAGAUCUAGGAACCUACGUGAUCAACAAGCAGACGCCAAACAAGCAAAUCUGGUUAUCUUCUCCAUCCAGAUGUUAUAUGGAGUUGCUGGAGUAUGAGAAGAGCUUCUUCAUCCGGAUAGCUUUCAAGUACAGGAACACAACAAAGAAGCACCGAAGCCAGUUAGAAAAUUAUGGCAACCAGUGUGACUGCCAUGGAAAGGCCCUUCCCACAUUUGGCACAUUUUCCAGGUCCAAGAGGGUUUUCAUCAGUGAAAGGGCUGCUGCUGAACAAUGA
Piliocolobus tephrosceles (Ugandan red Colobus) is the source of this 888-nucleotide RNA transcript. It is a transcript of the gene named frataxin, mitochondrial-like, with no coding region annotated. The transcript is spliced from 3 exons. The record is from RefSeq and is a predicted model, not a curated record. Lineage: Eukaryota; Metazoa; Chordata; Mammalia; Primates; Cercopithecidae.